CUUCCUCACUGUAAACCUGAAGAC
RNAcentral lists this non-coding RNA (24 nucleotides) under Cricetulus griseus (Chinese hamster). The record is from RNAcentral. Lineage: Eukaryota; Metazoa; Chordata; Mammalia; Rodentia; Cricetidae.